This 771-nucleotide ribosomal RNA is filed under the name uncultured Gram-positive bacterium. Its description in RNAcentral is "bacterial SSU rRNA". It matches the Rfam family "Bacterial small subunit ribosomal RNA", at positions 9 to 795 of the family's 1533-position model. The record is from RNAcentral.
GAGUUUGAUCCUGGCUCAGGACGAACGCUGGCGGCGUGCUUAACACAUGCAAGUCGAACGAGAUACCGGAGCUUGCUCCGGUGGAAAGUGGCGAACGGGUGAGUAACACGUGAGAAAUCUGUCCUAGAGACCGGGACAACCAUCGGAAACGAUGGCUAAUACCGGAUACCCUCAGACGGCCGCAUGGUCGAGUGAGGAAAUGCUCAGGUGCUCUAGGAGGAUCUCACGGCCUAUCAGCUAGUUGGUGGGGUAACGGCCUACCAAGGCAUCGACGGGUAGCUGGUCUGAGAGGACGAUCAGCCACACUGGGACUGAGACACGGCCCAGACUCCUACGGGAGGCAGCAGUGGGGAAUAUUGCGCAAUGGGCGAAAGCCUGACGCAGCAACGCCGCGUGAGGGAUGACGGCUUUCGGGUUGUAAACCUCUUUCAGUGAUGACGAAAAUGACGGUAGUCACAGAAGAAGCUCCGGCCAACUACGUGCCAGCAGCCGCGGUAACACGUAGGGAGCGAGCGUUGUCCGGAUUUAUUGGGCGUAAAGAGCUCGUAGGCGGUUUCGUAAGUCGGAUGUGAAAACUCAGGGCUCAACCCUGAGACGCCAUCUGAUACUGCGAUGACUAGAGUCCGGUAGAGGAGCAUGGAAUUCCUGGUGUAGCGGUGGAAUGCGCAGAUAUCAGGAGGAACACCAACGGCGAAGGCAGUGCUCUGGGCCGGUACUGACGCUGAGGAGCGAAAGCAUGGGGAGCAAACAGGAUUAGAUACCCUGGUAGUC